GGGGGUGUAGCUCAAUGGUAGAGCUGGCGGCUCAUAACCGUCUGGUCGCAGGUUCGAUCCCUGCCGCCCCUA
RNAcentral lists this transfer RNA (72 nucleotides) under Pararhodospirillum photometricum DSM 122. It matches the Rfam family "tRNA". From Rfam's summary of the family: Transfer RNA (tRNA) molecules are approximately 80 nucleotides in length. The record is from Rfam by way of RNAcentral. Lineage: Bacteria; Pseudomonadati; Pseudomonadota; Alphaproteobacteria; Rhodospirillales; Rhodospirillaceae.